RNAcentral lists this ribosomal RNA (544 nucleotides) under uncultured bacterium. Its description in RNAcentral is "partial 16S ribosomal RNA". It matches the Rfam family "Bacterial small subunit ribosomal RNA", at positions 355 to 909 of the family's 1533-position model. The record is from RNAcentral.
UGGGGAAUAUUGCACAAUGGGCGCAAGCCUGAUGCAGCGACGCCGCGUGGGGGAUGACGGCCUUCGGGUUGUAAACCUCUUUCAGCAGGGACGAAGCGAAAGUGACGGUACCUGCAGAAGAAGCACCGGCCAACUACGUGCCAGCAGCCGCGGUAAUACGUAGGGUGCGAGCGUUGUCCGGAAUUACUGGGCGUAAAGAGCCCGUAGGUGGUUUGUCGCGUUGUUCGUGAAAACCGGGGGCUUAACCCUCGGCGUGCGGGCGAUACGGGCAGACUAGAGUACUGCAGGGGAGACUGGAAUUCCUGGUGUAGCGGUGGAAUGCGCAGAUAUCAGGAGGAACACCGGUGGCGAAGGCGGGUCUCUGGGCAGUAACUGACGCUGAGGAGCGAAAGCGUGGGGAGCGAACAGGAUUAGAUACCCUGGUAGUCCACGCCGUAAACGGUGGGUACUAGGUGUGGGUUUCCUUCCUUGGGAUCCGUGCCGUAGCUAACGCAUUAAGUACCCCGCCUGGGGAGUACGGCCGCAAGGCUAAAACUCAAAGGAA